CAAUAGCGUAUAUUAAAGUUGUUGCGGUUAAAAAGCUCGUAGUUGGAUUUCUGUUGGGAACGACCGGUCCGCCCAUUGGGUGUGUAUCUGGCUUGUUCUCGGCAUCUUCUUGGUGAACGUUGCUGCACUUGACUGUGUGGAGCGCUACCCAGGACUUUUACUUUGAGGAAAUUAGAGUGUUUCAAGCAGGCAUAUGCCUUGAAUACAUUAGCAUGGAAUAAUAAGAUAGGACCUCGGUUCUAUUUUGUUGGUUUCUAGAGCUGAGGUAAUGAUUAAUAGGGAUAGUUGGGGGCAUUCGUAUUUAACUGUCAGAGGUGAAAUUCUUGGAUUUGUUAAAGACGAACUACUGCGAAAGCAUUUGCCAAGGAUGUUUUCAUUG
RNAcentral lists this ribosomal RNA (379 nucleotides) under uncultured eukaryote. RNAcentral's name for it is "partial 18S ribosomal RNA". It matches the Rfam family "Eukaryotic small subunit ribosomal RNA", at positions 592 to 975 of the family's 1831-position model. The record is from RNAcentral.